RNAcentral lists this ribosomal RNA (159 nucleotides) under Inga thibaudiana. RNAcentral's name for it is "5.8S ribosomal RNA". The stretch from base 1 to 107 matches the Rfam family "5.8S ribosomal RNA", at positions 50 to 154 of the family's 154-position model. Rfam says of the family: 5.8S ribosomal RNA (5.8S rRNA) is a component of the large subunit of the eukaryotic ribosome. It is transcribed by RNA polymerase I as part of the 45S precursor that also contains 18S and 28S rRNA. Functionally, it is thought that 5.8S rRNA may be involved in ribosome translocation. Lineage: Eukaryota; Viridiplantae; Streptophyta; Magnoliopsida; Fabales; Fabaceae. The record is from RNAcentral.
GAAAUGCGAUACUUGGUGUGAAUUGCAGAAUCCCGUGAACCAUCGAGUCUUUGAACGCAAGUUGCGCCCGAAGCCACUAGGCCGAGGGCACGUCUGCCUGGGUGUCACGCAACGUCGCCAWCGCCCGGUCCUCCGGGCGCGGCGGAUGAUGGCCUCCCG